UACGCAGGGGGCUAGCGUUGCUCGGAAUCACUGGGCGUAAAGCGCGCGUAGGCGGAUUGCUAAGUCAGGGGUGAAAUCCUGGAGCUCAACUCCAGAACUGCCUUUGAUACUGGCGAUCUCGAGUCCGGGAGAGGUGAGUGGAACUGCGAGUGUAGAGGUGAAAUUCGUAGAUAUUCGCAAGAACACCAGUGGCGAAGGCGGCUCACUGGCCCGGUACUGACGCUGAGGUGCGAAAGCGUGGGGAGCAAACAGG
RNAcentral lists this ribosomal RNA (253 nucleotides) under uncultured bacterium. RNAcentral's name for it is "partial 16S ribosomal RNA". It matches the Rfam family "Bacterial small subunit ribosomal RNA", at positions 524 to 776 of the family's 1533-position model. The record is from RNAcentral.